Non-coding RNA from Desmophyllum pertusum, 72 nucleotides. NCBI's taxonomy places the organism in Eukaryota, Metazoa, Cnidaria, Anthozoa, Scleractinia, Caryophylliidae. The record is from the annotation of a GenBank genome assembly.
UAGCAGAGUGGCGCAGUGGAAGCGUGCUGGGCCCAUAACCCAGAGGUCCGAGAUCAAACCUCGCUCUGCUAA